UAGGGAAUCUUCCGCAAUGGACGCAAGUCUGACGGAGCAACGCCGCGUGAGUGAAGAAGGAUUUCGGUUCGUAAAACUCUGUUGUUAGAGAAGAACAGCGCAUAGAGUAACUGUUAUGCGUGUGACGGUAUCUAACCAGAAAGCCACGGCUAACUACGUGCCAGCAGCCGCGGUAAUACGUAGGUGGCAAGCGUUGUCCGGAUUUAUUGGGCGUAAAGCGAGCGCAGGCGGUCAAUUAGGUCUGAUGUGAAAGCCCCCGGCUAAACCGGGGAGGGUCAUUGGAAAUUGGUGGACUUAAGUGCAGAAGAGGAGAGUGGAAUUCCAGUUGUAGCGGUGAAAUGCGUAGGUAUAUGGAGGAACACCAGUGGAGAAGGCGACUCUCUGGUCUGUAACUGACGCUGAGGCUCGAAAGCGUGGGUAGCAAACAGG
RNAcentral lists this ribosomal RNA (429 nucleotides) under Bacteroidota bacterium. RNAcentral's name for it is "Bacteroidetes bacterium partial 16S ribosomal RNA". It matches the Rfam family "Bacterial small subunit ribosomal RNA", at positions 355 to 776 of the family's 1533-position model. Lineage: Bacteria; Pseudomonadati; Bacteroidota. The record is from RNAcentral.